RNAcentral lists this transfer RNA (86 nucleotides) under Canis lupus familiaris (dog). It matches the Rfam family "tRNA". Rfam says of the family: Transfer RNA (tRNA) molecules are approximately 80 nucleotides in length. Their secondary structure includes four short double-helical elements and three loops (D, anti-codon, and T loops). The record is from Rfam by way of RNAcentral. Lineage: Eukaryota; Metazoa; Chordata; Mammalia; Carnivora; Canidae. RNAcentral also lists the same sequence under 1 other name.
GCCUGGGUGGCUCAGUGGUUGAGCAUCUGCCUUUGGCUCAGGGCAGAUCCUGGCUGGGGUCCUGGGAUUGAGUCCCACAUCAGGCU